Molecule: non-coding RNA, 46 nt
Organism: Lingula anatina
Lineage: Eukaryota; Metazoa; Brachiopoda; Lingulata; Lingulida; Lingulidae
Source: Rfam
UCAAAGGUCCUUUUCAGGACCACCAUUUCCUCCACAGAAAAGCUAU